RNAcentral lists this unclassified non-coding RNA (200 nucleotides) under Helotiales sp. RNAcentral's name for it is "partial internal transcribed spacer 2". The record is from RNAcentral. Lineage: Eukaryota; Fungi; Ascomycota; Leotiomycetes; Helotiales.
UUAAGUUCAGCGGGUAUCCCUACCUGAUCCGAGGUCAACCAUAGAAAAAUUGGGGGUUGAUGGCAAGCAUCCACCAGGACUCCAUAGCGAGAAGAAUUACUACGCUUAGAGCCAGAUGGCGCCGCCACUGAUUUUAAGGGCUGCCAGUGCAGCAGGCCCCAACACCAAGCUGAGCUUGAGGGGUUAUAAUGACGCUCGAA